AAGUCGUAACAAGGUUUCCGUAGGUUGAACCCUGCGGAAGGGAUCAUUUACCAUGUUUUUCCGAGCUAUGCCUUUUGGCUGGCUCGAUUACACCCUUGUCUUGUCUACUCUGUUUCCUUCGGUGAUGGUAAAGGCCUGCCGAAGGACAUUUUUUAAACCUUGUACUUGCAAUCAGCGUCAGAAAAUAUAAUUAUUAAAA
Molecule: unclassified non-coding RNA, 199 nt
Filed under: plant metagenome
Description: partial contains small subunit ribosomal RNA and internal transcribed spacer 1
Source: RNAcentral